CGUUCUCUGAAUAAAGCUACAGAAACCUUUUGCAGAAAGCUGAGUCCUUGCCUAAUUAUUAUAACCCAUUGUCUUACAAACCUUGGGCAUUAGUCAAGGCGAAUUGAUUAUUGAUUAUUAUCAUCAAGAUAUAAAAUUCUUUUAACAGUCUCUCACAUGGAUUAAUACUGGAGAAUGAGGGCUCGGUCGCCUUCUUAAUUGAGGGAUCCCCUAACCAAAUCACUGUAAAGGAUCAGACCUUUUUCCUGUGACAGACGCAAGUAUGAAACUCUCCAUAUAUCAUUUUGGAUUAAAGUUUGGUUGAAAUUAGAUUGUGUUGAGGUUGCCUUUUACGUUGCCUUACAAAUGUGUGUAAAUGUUUUUGCUCCUACCUAAGCCCCCACUAAAAUCUGUUCUGAAGAGCCAGAAAACAAACCAAUGCCAUUAAAUCCUUGCUUACACUGUAGGCCUGAAUGCUCAAAUCAGUUUUGUUUUCCAAAUCCGUUCUGGAAUACUGACUGUCCAAACUGUAAGUUACAAGUGACCACAUAGGAUGUGUGUGUUCAGACAGCAGUCAUUUGCUGACAUGGCUAAGCUAGUUGUCAUAGUAACAAUGGGUGUGUGCACAGUGGUGUAGGGUGAUUGGUGGUACUCUUGCUUCCUAUCACUUAGAAGUUAAAGAAUGUAGCAAGCUAAGGUGACAAUAAUGCUUUCCAUGGGCGUUUCAUACUGUAAGAAGACUUUUAAAGCCUCAAAGGAUAAGAUGUGACAGUUUGACAUGUGCUUGUCAAACUGUCAACAGACUAGACUAGCUAGCAAGCAACAAUAUAUAAAGGUGGUUUGAAAUGUGGCUUGAAAUAGCUAGUUCCAUGUGCUUUUCGGCUGCAGGAAAAAUAACGGAUUCGAAUAAGAUAUGCAAAAAAAUUGGAUUUGAGUCACUUCAAACUGCCAAUGUGAACAAGGCUUAAGAAGCAAAAGGCUACAAUAACCUAAUAAUCUGCCUAAUAACAGAUAUUUUUUAUGGUUCGGCCACCUUUUUGCAUCACCUGCAGUUGAAGGCAUUAACUUUAAUCAAAUCGCAUUUUAAUGGGAAAAAACAUUAAUUGCUACAGAAUGUAGUAAAUUUAUGUCAAAGCGCAUAUCAAAUUACAUUUUGUUUUACUACAAUGUAAAAACAAUUUAAACUGAGCCAUGUUGGUUUAAAAAGCUGACUCUUCUAAAUGAAAAUUGGUGGUGAGGGGAAAUGGCAAACUAAAACACCACUCAAGCCAGCAAGUGUGGGGAUGGGGAAAUGGCAAACUAAAACGCAAGCCACCAAGCGAUUAUAGUGAGGACCCUUCACAACGCAAGUCAACCCCUUAUUCUCAUUCUUGAUUGAUGUAUUUGGGAAAUGUAUUCUAAUUGUACCAAGAAUUGCCAUAUUGUACAAUAUUUUACUGCAGAGAAUCUUGAGCCUUCAUGCUCCAGGUUUAGGUAAUGUGGGAGACCGAGGUCUCCCUCUGCCUCUUCAGAUGACAGAUCCCCCUCACCAAAGCACUGCAAAGGCUCAGACCCCUUUCCUAUCCUCGAAGCAAAAUUUCACAAAAAGAGUCUUACAUCUCCUUUGUGUGAUCUGUGACCUUCUUAAAGGACAGCGCCCAAGUCUGGUUGAGAAAUUCAACUUCAACCUGAACGAGACAGAGAAAGAUUUACUAAAGAUGGAAGAGCAGCUAACGGACAACGAUUUUCAAAAAUGCAUGAUAUCUUAGGUCUCAAAGCUGAGGGGUAAAGACAUCCCAGACUGGGUGAAGAGAACAAUGCAUUGAACACUGACAAACGGCCUUGUGUUCUAUGCAGAACCCUGACAAACGGCCUUGUGUUCUAUACAGAACCUUGGCAAACGGCCUUGUGUUCUAUACAGAACCCUGACAAAUGGCCUCAUGUCAACAACGACUAUGAAAGGUAACAAAUGGAAAAGGGCCUUUGAGGACUCCAACAUUUGCAGUGUCAUUAUAGCAUGUAUGAGUCUUGGCGAAUCAAAGGCUACAGAGGCAGAUAUAUUACAGGCGAUGUCAACCUGCCUGAAAUAUGCACCUGGCCGCAAGGGGGCCAGUGGGAGGGCCAAUGAGAGUUCUUAAGAAGUUAAAGCAUCAAAGCCUGUUCUGACAGUGCAUUUUUUUGGUUUAUUGUAUAUCUGAUUUUGGUUUCCAGAAGCCUGUGGCAGAAAUUAAUUUUUUGGCUUAUAUAUUUUAUUUUUUUAUCGGCUUUUACAUUUAUUUUUUUUGUAUUUGUUUUUACAUGGACAAAGGUUUACACAAUGCUGUUCAAAGCUACAGCUCUAACUGUGUUACACAGAAUGACAAUAGCCUACAGUAAUAUAGACCCUAAAUCUGGAAGAUACAUUUUGCACCGUGAGAAGAAUUGUAUUAUUCAUAUCAGGGUACUUUUCAAGAGUGUGCAACAUCAGAAAGGUCCUAGUCCUAGCUUGUUUUCCUAUUCUUAGCUCAGCCUAGGGUUAUGUAAAGAGCCCUACAUCACAAAAUGGCAACUGCUCCAAUAUUUAAAUGGAGUUGAUUUAUUAGUCAAGUAUAGUUUUCAAUCUCUAAAGUACCUAAAUAAAAAAUAAAAAACAGUUGGCUGUCUUUUUGAGUGGGUGAAUAAAGGUUGAAAUCUCAUUGAUCAAUGUCUCAACCAAAUAUUACCCAAAUGUCCACAUUUGAAAUGACUGCUCAUUCAGAAAAAAAGACACCAUAAAUGUUUCAAAACAUCUUCACCAUCAAAAUAAACAACUUUAAAGUGGCCCUCCAGUCUCCUUUUCACCUCAUUUAAGACUUAACAAAAGUAACAUCGCAAUAGGUGGUCCAGGUAUGUCAUGACAGCACAAGUGAGGGGGUGGGCCUUUCCUCUUUUGUCCUCUAUAGUUACUCAAUCAAGGGGGAAGGCCAAUGACAUCAUGGAUUCCCAUCAGACCAGAUCCCUGAAUGCCCUGCCCGCCUCCU
This 2957-nucleotide long non-coding RNA is filed under the name Salmo salar (Atlantic salmon). RNAcentral describes it as "lncRNA (ENSSSAG00000111011.1)". The record is from RNAcentral. Lineage: Eukaryota; Metazoa; Chordata; Actinopteri; Salmoniformes; Salmonidae.